GAUGAACGCUGGCGGCGUGCCUAAUACAUGCAAGUCGAGCGAACAGACGAGGAGCUUGCUCCUCUGACGUUAGCGGCGGACGGGUGAGUAACACGUGGAUAACCUACCUAUAAGACUGGGAUAACUUCGGGAAACCGGAGCUAAUACCGGAUAAUAUAUUGAACCGCAUGGUUCAAUAGUGAAAGACGGUUUUGCUGUCACUUAUAGAUGGAUCCGCGCCGCAUUAGCUAGUUGGUAAGGUAACGGCUUACCAAGGCAACGAUGCGUAGCCGACCUGAGAGGGUGAUCGGCCACACUGGAACUGAGACACGGUCCAGACUCCUACGGGAGGCAGCAGUAGGGAAUCUUCCGCAAUGGGCGAAAGCCUGACGGAGCAACGCCGCGUGAGUGAUGAAGGUCUUCGGUUCGUAAAACUCUGUUAUUAGGGAAGAACAAAUGUGUAAGUAACUAUGCACGUCUUGACGGGACCUAAUCAGAAAGCCACGGCUAACUACGU
This 496-nucleotide ribosomal RNA is filed under the name uncultured bacterium. RNAcentral's name for it is "partial 16S ribosomal RNA". It matches the Rfam family "Bacterial small subunit ribosomal RNA", at positions 28 to 506 of the family's 1533-position model. The record is from RNAcentral.